GGCGGACGUAGCCCAAG
RNAcentral lists this transfer RNA (17 nucleotides) under Araucaria heterophylla. RNAcentral's name for it is "partial tRNA-His". RNAcentral also lists the same sequence under 2 other names. Lineage: Eukaryota; Viridiplantae; Streptophyta; Pinopsida; Araucariales; Araucariaceae. The record is from RNAcentral.